Molecule: transfer RNA, 74 nt
Filed under: Marmota monax (woodchuck)
Lineage: Eukaryota; Metazoa; Chordata; Mammalia; Rodentia; Sciuridae
Description: tRNA.Ala
Rfam family: tRNA (bases 11-67)
About the family: Transfer RNA (tRNA) molecules are approximately 80 nucleotides in length.
Source: RNAcentral
GCUGGGGCUAUAGCUCAGUGGUAGAGUGCCCACCUCGCAUGUGUGAGGCACUGAGUUCGAUCCUCAGCACAACA